AAAUGUAAAAUAAAUCUAUCCUAUCUUGCAUAUCGUUAACACACAAAAAAUCGAAAAGGACUUCUUCCGGCUUUGCAAUGACAGAGUCCAGAAAAGUUUCAACGGACUGCAUUUAUUUCUAAUGUUCUUCUUCCUCAAAGUCUGGUUGCUCCCCAAAGUUCUGAGCCUUCCCCCACCCUUGCCUCAGACCUUUAAGACCAAAGACUGUAAAACCACAGGGCUGGAAGGGCCAACUCUGAGGACCAGCCUCGGGCCACACCCAGGAGCUGGAGGGCUUUUUGCCUCCUGGGAGAAGGAGUUGGGGCCUCGCCAGAGCUGGGGAGGUGGGGGGGAGGACACAUCCCUUCAGAUUCCAAUGGGUUUCCCAUCCCCUCUGUCAGCCUUGCUGUGACUGUGUGGGCAUUAGUGAGAGGG
Molecule: long non-coding RNA, 414 nt
Filed under: Lynx pardinus (Iberian lynx)
Lineage: Eukaryota; Metazoa; Chordata; Mammalia; Carnivora; Felidae
Source: RNAcentral